GCUUAAAAGGGAGUCAGGGUCCACGGCACAGCCCCAUCAUUGCAGGGACGUGGAGCUGGUGGGAUCACACCAUGGCCUGGGUCCCUCUCCUCCUCGUGGUGCUUGCCCACACCUCAGGUUCUCUUGUCCAGGCAGCGCUGACUCAGCCGUCCUCAUUGUCUCACAGGGUGGGAGACACUGUCAAGAUCCCCUGCUCUGGGAGCAGCUACAACUGGUAUGGCUGGUACCAGCAGAAGGUCCCUGACAUUGCCCCUGUCACUGUGAUCUAUGCUAACAGCAACAGACCCUCGAACAUCCCUUCACGAUUCUCCGGAUCCGUGUCGGGCUCCACGGCCACAUUGACUAUCGCUGGGGUCCAAGCCGAGGACAAGGCUGUCUAUUUCUGUGGUGCCUGGGAGAGCAGCAGUGGUGGUUUUAUAUUCGGGGCUGGGACCGAUGUGACCAUCAUAAGCCAGCCCGAGGUCGCUCCCUCCCUCUACGUCUUCCAGCCGUCGUCCGAGCAGAUCUUGAAUGAGAACAAAGCCACCCUGGUGUGUCUGGUGCAGGGCUUCUACCCCGAGCAUGUGGAUGUGGAAUGGUUGGCUGAUGGCACCCUCCUCACAAAUAACGUGCAGACCAGUCAGCCCGUGCGGCAGAGUGACAGCAAGUACAUGACCAGCAGCUACCUGUCACUGGAUGCCAGCCAGUGGCAAAGUUACAGCACAUACUCCUGCAAGGUCAAGCACGAGGCUGGCAAUGUGGAGAAGACAGUGAACAGAUCCUACCCCAUCAUUGCAGGGACGUGGAGCUGGUGGGAUCACACCAUGACCUGGGUCCCUCUCCUCCUCGCAGUGCUCGCCCACACCUCAGGUUCUCUUGUCCAGGCAGCGCUGACUCAGUCGUCCUCAUUGUCUCACAGGGUGGGAGACACCGUCAAGAUCCCCUGCUCUGGGAGCCGCUACAACUGGUAUGGCUGGUACCAGCAGAAGGUCCCUGACAGUGCCCCUGUCACUGUGAUCUAUGCUAACAGCAACAGACCCUCGAACAUCCCUUCACGAUUCUCUGGAUCCACAUCAGGCAACACAAACACAUUGACCAUCACUGGGGUCCAACCCGAGGACGAGGCUGUCUAUUACUGUCAUACCUGGGAGAGCAGCAUUGAUCUAUUCGGGUCCGGGACCCAUGUGACCGUUAUAAGCCAGCCCGAGGUCGCUCCCUCCCUCUACGUCUUCCAGCCGUCGUCCGAGCAGAUCUUGAAUGAGAACAAAGCCAUUGUGGUGUGUCUGGUGCAGGGCUUCUACCCUGGGCAUGUGGAUGUGGAAUGGUUGGCUGAUGGCACCCUCCUCACAAAUAACGUGCAGACCAGUCAGCCCGUGCGGCAGAGUGACAGCAAGUACAUGACCAGCAGCUACCUGACACUGGAUGCCAGCCAGUGGCAAAGUUACAGCACAUACUCCUGCAAGGUCAAGCACGAGGCUGGCAAUGUGGAGAAGACAGUGAACAGAUCCUAGUGCCCCUAAGCCCACUGGAACCUCCUCACACCCACCAGCCCUUUGCUGGCUCCCUCCCUCCUCCCCACUUCUGGGGACAGCGGCUCCCCACAGCUGCACACCUCGCUCCCCAUGUUCCCCUGUCCCCUGCUCCUGUUCCCCCACUAUGAGUGUCAGACAAAUAAAAACUGACACUGAACUAGUGCUGGCUCAGCA
Non-coding RNA from Chiroxiphia lanceolata (lance-tailed manakin), 1685 nucleotides. Lineage: Eukaryota; Metazoa; Chordata; Aves; Passeriformes; Pipridae. The record is from the annotation of a RefSeq genome assembly.